GACGAACGCUGGCGGCGUGUUUAACACAUGCAAGUCGAACGGAAAGGCCCUGCUUUUGUGGGGUGCUCGAGUGGCGAACGGGUGAGUAACACGUGAGUAACCUGCCCUUGACUUUGGGAUAACUUCAGGAAACUGGGGCUAAUACCGGAUAGGAGCUCCUGCUGCAUGGUGGGGGUUGGAAAGUUUCGGCGGUUGGGGAUGGACUCGCGGCUUAUCAGCUUGUUGGUGGGGUAGUGGCUUACCAAGGCUUUGACGGGUAGCCGGCCUGAGAGGGUGACCGGCCACAUUGGGACUGAGAUACGGCCCAGACUCCUACGGGAGGCAGCAGUGGGGAAUAUUGCACAAUGGGCGGAAGCCUGAUGCAGCAACGCCGCGUGCGGGAUGACGGCCUUCGGGUUGUAAACCGCUUUCGCCUGUGACGAAGCGUGAGUGACGGUAAUGGGUAAAGAAGCACCGGCUAACUACGUGCCAGCAGCCGCGGUGAUACGUAGGGUGCGAGCGUUGUCCGGAUUUAUUGGGCGUAAAGGGCUCGUAGGUGGUUGAUCGCGUCGGAAGUGUAAUCUUGGGGCUUAACCCUGAGCGUGCUUUCGAUACGGGUUGACUUGAGGAAGGUAGGGGAGAAUGGAAUUCCUGGUGGAGCGGUGGAAUGCGCAGAUAUCAGGAGGAACACCAGUGGCGAAGGCGGUUCUCUGGGCCUUUCCUGACGCUGAGGAGCGAAAGCGUGGGGAGCGAACAGGCUUAGAUACCCUGGUAGUCCACGCUGUAAACGGUGGGUACUAGGUGUGGGGUCCAUUCCACGGGUUCCGUGCCGUAGCUAACGCUUUAAGUACCCCGCCUGGGGAGUACGGCCGCAAGGCUAAAACUCAAAGGAAUUGACGGGGCCCCGCACAAGCGGCGGAGCAUGCGGAUUAAUUCGAUGCAACGCGUAGAACCUUACCUGGGUUUGACAUGGAUCGGGAGUGCUCAGAGAUGGGUGUGCCUCUUUUGGGGUCGGUUCACAGGUGGUGCAUGCCUGUCGUCAGCUCGUGUCGUGAGAUGUUGGGUUAAGUCCCGCAACGAGCGCAACCCUUGUUCACUGUUGCCAGCACGUUAUGGUGGGGACUCAGUGGAGACCGCCGGGGUCAACUCGGAGGAAGGUGGGGAUGACGUCAAGUCCUCAUGCCCCUUAUGUCCAGGGCUUCACGCAUGCUACAAUGGCUGGUACAGAGAGUGGCGAGCCUGUGAGGGUGAGCGAAUCUCGGAAAGCCGGUCUCAGUUCGGAUUGGGGUCUGCAACUCGACCUCAUGAAGUCGGAGUCGCUAGUAAUCGCAGAUCAGCAACGCUGCGGUGAAUACGUUCCCGGGGCU
RNAcentral lists this ribosomal RNA (1346 nucleotides) under uncultured bacterium. RNAcentral's name for it is "bacterial SSU rRNA". It matches the Rfam family "Bacterial small subunit ribosomal RNA", at positions 28 to 1381 of the family's 1533-position model. The record is from RNAcentral.